RNAcentral lists this ribosomal RNA (805 nucleotides) under Bacillus altitudinis. RNAcentral's name for it is "bacterial SSU rRNA". It matches the Rfam family "Bacterial small subunit ribosomal RNA", at positions 79 to 868 of the family's 1533-position model. Lineage: Bacteria; Bacillati; Bacillota; Bacilli; Caryophanales; Bacillaceae. The record is from RNAcentral.
CUUGCUCCCGGAUGUUAGCGGCGGACGGGUGAGUAACACGUGGGUAACCUGCCUGUAAGACUGGGAUAACUCCGGGAAACCGGAGCUAAUACCGGAUAGUUCCUUGAACCGCAUGGUUCAAGGAUGAAAGACGGUUUCGGCUGUCACUUACAGAUGGACCCGCGGCGCAUUAGCUAGUUGGUGAGGUAACGGCUCACCAAGGCGACGAUGCGUAGCCGACCUGAGAGGGUGAUCGGCCACACUGGGACUGAGACACGGCCCAGACUCCUACGGGAGGCAGCAGUAGGGAAUCUUCCGCAAUGGACGAAAGUCUGACGGAGCAACGCCGCGUGAGUGAUGAAGGUUUUCGGAUCGUAAAGCUCUGUUGUUAGGGAAGAACAAGUGCAAGAGUAACUGCUUGCACCUUGACGGUACCUAACCAGAAAGCCACGGCUAACUACGUGCCAGCAGCCGCGGUAAUACGUAGGUGGCAAGCGUUGUCCGGAAUUAUUGGGCGUAAAGGGCUCGCAGGCGGUUUCUUAAGUCUGAUGUGAAAGCCCCCGGCUCAACCGGGGAGGGUCAUUGGAAACUGGGAAACUUGAGUGCAGAAGAGGAGAGUGGAAUUCCACGUGUAGCGGUGAAAUGCGUAGAGAUGUGGAGGAACACCAGUGGCGAAGGCGACUCUCUGGUCUGUAACUGACGCUGAGGAGCGAAAGCGUGGGGAGCGAACAGGAUUAGAUACCCUGGUAGUCCACGCCGUAAACGAUGAGUGCUAAGUGUUAGGGGGUUUCCGCCCCUUAGUGCUGCAGCUAACGCAUUAAGCACU